AGCUCACACCUGUGUAUUUCUUUUAGCCCUGCCUCCAGGUCUGAAUAUCAUCGCCCGGUCCGCUUAAUGUUGUCUUGGUUUACAAUAGGUCCUGGUGCCCGUGGGACAAGCUGUGUUGGUGUCUCCCUCUCCCCACACCUGGCUUCAGAUGUGUCCUUCUGUGGGCCUGGCUUCCAGGGUCUGAGUGACCCAGGGCUGUAGUCAGGCUUAUGUCCUGGCCUACUGGCCCGAGACCCCUCGUCAUCAUGCCUGGUGGGUGUUGUCCACCAGCUUGUUAAUCCUGCCACUAUGUCCCUUGAGUCCUGGGCCUGGCCCUGCUAGGCCCCUUAUUGACUACCUUGUGUUGGUUUUGGGGGCUGCCACCAGGCCUGUUGCAUCGCUUCUGUACUUUUCCCUGCUGUGGCUCGUGUCAGAUGAACUGCCCCUGUCCACAGUAGAGCAGCUGGCUUCACCUGCUGGCCAUGUUGGCUGAAGAACAGCAGAUAGAAGUGGCAGAGGACCCCAUGAGACCCGCCACCAGGACCCAAGCCUUCUUCCCAGCAUGUCUCACCGCCUCAGUUGAGGCCGAAGUUACCACCUGGAAUUCUGCGUGGGAAGGGACCCUGGAUACCCGGAUACAUGCCCUUGGGACCCUCCAGUGCUAAAUCCCUCCACAGCUACGGGGACACCCUGCACACAUUCCCACGGGACAGACUGGACCCAAGACUCUGGACCGGGGCCUCCCCUUAUAGAGACUCACCCUCUGACUGAUGGACUGCGCUGACCUGGGGGUCAGGCGUGUAGCCUUGACCUCCAUCAUCCCCCAUGAACCCUGAGACUCGGGGAGCUGUUGACUCUUCAUUGUCCUCACUUAUGAAACAGGCCGGGACACCUACCUCACAGGACUGUUGUGAGGCUGCUGCAAUAUGGUUUAGAACCAAAGGGCUUGGCACGCCCACUUGUCUCAAUAAAUGUUUUUUGUCUUAACCA
Molecule: long non-coding RNA, 969 nt
Filed under: Castor canadensis (American beaver)
Lineage: Eukaryota; Metazoa; Chordata; Mammalia; Rodentia; Castoridae
Description: lncRNA (ENSCCNG00000001716.1)
Source: RNAcentral